UAUGCUCAGCCGUAAACUUAGAUUCAUAUUUAUUUUAGUAUCCGCCAGGGGACUACGAGCAAAAGCUUGAAACCCAAAGGACUUGGCGGUGCUUAAUACCCCCCUAGAGGAGCCUGUUCUGUAACCGAUAACCCUCGUUAAACCUCACCCUUUCUAGUUUUUCCCGCCUAUAUACCGCCGUCGUCAGCUUACCCUGUGAAGGGCUCAUAGUAAGCACAAUUAGUACUACUCAAAACGUCAGGUCGAGGUGUAGCACACGAAAGGGGAAGAAAUGGGCUACAUUUCCUGCUGACAGGAAACAACGAAAAGUGAAAUGAAACGUUCACUAGAAGGAGGAUUUAGAAGUAAGUAAGGGAGCAGAGAGCCCUACUGAACCUGGCCCUUAAGCGCGCA
This 393-nucleotide ribosomal RNA is filed under the name Aidablennius sphynx. RNAcentral describes it as "partial 12S ribosomal RNA". It matches the Rfam family "Bacterial small subunit ribosomal RNA", at positions 791 to 1385 of the family's 1533-position model. Lineage: Eukaryota; Metazoa; Chordata; Actinopteri; Blenniiformes; Blenniidae. The record is from RNAcentral.